RNAcentral lists this ribosomal RNA (657 nucleotides) under Triticum aestivum (bread wheat). Its description in RNAcentral is "partial small subunit ribosomal RNA". Lineage: Eukaryota; Viridiplantae; Streptophyta; Magnoliopsida; Poales; Poaceae. The record is from RNAcentral.
AUGACCAUCGACUUCCUCUGCGCGCGCCUCCUCUCCGAGUGCUCCAUCUCCCGCGCCGCCAAGGACCACACCGACCAGCUCGCCAACCGGGUCGCGGAGCUGGAGGAGCAGCUCCGGGCAGUGACGGCCCAUCGCCGGGAGGCGGAGCAGGCCACCACCGAGGUGCUCACCAUCCUCGACUCGCAGGGUUUCUUCGACGCCACCGAUUCCGGUUCCGACGAUGACGGCGCCGGCGGCACCCUUGAGGCCCCCGGCCACAGGAGAGCACUGGAGAGAAGGCACGGGAUAUUUUCCACCCCGGUCGAUCCAGGCACGACAUCGGAUAGGACAGAGCAGGGGAGGGCCAAGAGGCCAGUGGUGUGGGGUGGAGCAGCGAGGCCGAAGACCGGGCAGCGGACGCCUCACAGGGUGGAGGAGUGGCCGGCGAUAGGGAAAAGCAGCAUCUUCAUGGAUGAGAUCCUGACGGCUGAAGAUGGUGCGCACGGGAGGAGCUUGGAAGAUGUCAAGGGGCGCCGUGAGGAGUGGAGGAUCGAGGUUGUGGGUUGCCAGCUUCAAAUUUUGGUUGAGCACUUCUUCAAGAAUCUUGUUGAGGUGUCUGUUUCCCCUCUUUGUGUCAUGAAUGAUUGUGAUGGCUGCAGGGUCUCCGCAAGGAGUUGA